This 302-nucleotide long non-coding RNA is filed under the name Zostera marina. RNAcentral describes it as "long non-coding RNA (ZMAR_LNC002350)". Lineage: Eukaryota; Viridiplantae; Streptophyta; Magnoliopsida; Alismatales; Zosteraceae. The record is from RNAcentral.
GAUCAACCGGAUUUAUAAAAAUAUUGAAAGUUAAUCAAAUUAAAACAUAUUCAAUAUUCAAAAUUAAAUGAACUGAGAAUUAAAACAAAUAUGAAUCAGAAUCAAAUUAAAACUGAGAAUUAGAAUCAGAAUUAGAAUAUGCAAAUCAAAACAAUAAAUCAAGUUAUUAUACUUGGAUUUCGAUUCUACAGAUCAUGAGGAAUUCUUAGAAGCCAUUAGAGGUCGAGUUGUGUAUUGGAAAGAUGACACAAGAGAGAUUGUUGGCAGUAAUCUAUAGAUUACCACUCAAUUAUUCAUUGUAU